GGGAUGGCUUGGUAGAAAAUGUCGAAUUCUUGCAAAGUAAUUUCUCACGUCUUCUGAUGUUUUUUUAUUGAGCGCUUUGAUCUUUGUUCUGCAGAUGUGGAAAUAACAUCAUCUACAACCUGUAGGCGUUCUCUGCACUUUCUCAACUAAUUGUUCCGUGCAUCUGACAACAAGAUGCAAAUUUACCCACAUCUGUCUACAAAGAGGCUUUCCUCCUGCCUGGCCUUUUUUGUAGAGAGUCAAACAACGUUAUUUUUACCCACUUCUAAAAAUUGAUUCUGAGCGUAUCUUUUGACAUGCCUGCUUGCCUUCCCCACUCCCAGAUGUCACCAGCUCCCUGCCUGCGUUACAACAUCCAUCUUGGCUGGCACGUGGGACCGAGCUGGGAAGGACGAGAACAGCUUGAGACAGAAAACAGUGUUCUGUAGCUCAAUGUCCCCGUCUGUGCUGAGGACCGGGAGUGUCACGUACUGAUUAUCCACUUCUUCUUACACAGUGAUUUACAUGCUGAUGGGUGCAGCCUUGUAAUUACCCAGGCACGUUCGCCCUAUGUCCCAAACCAGACAGCCCAGGCAGGCAUUAGCAGGGGAACAGCUGCAGUGGCCUGGAAGCGGGGGAAAUACGGAGGUGUUCAACCCGAGAGCUGGUAUCACUCAUCUCCUGGUUAUGUAAUUGUGGCUUCGCUGCAAGUUGUUGGAUGUGGUGCAGUCUGGCUGGAGAUGCUGCUGAUGGUGUGCUGGGGGGGAAUCUGCAAAUUUCUAGGGGUCAUUAUUGUAAUUUCAGUCUUCUGGAUUAAAUGGUAUUGA
RNAcentral lists this long non-coding RNA (806 nucleotides) under Anas platyrhynchos platyrhynchos (common mallard). RNAcentral's name for it is "lncRNA (ENSAPLG00000028978.1)". Lineage: Eukaryota; Metazoa; Chordata; Aves; Anseriformes; Anatidae. The record is from RNAcentral.